Sphaerodactylus townsendi is the source of this 3846-nucleotide long non-coding RNA. RefSeq lists it as uncharacterized. Lineage: Eukaryota; Metazoa; Chordata; Lepidosauria; Squamata; Sphaerodactylidae. The transcript has 3 exons. The record is from RefSeq and is a predicted model, not a curated record.
UGAUAUUCCUAAAUCUCCCUCCUGAGGUAAUGAUAUUCCUAAAUCUCCCUCCUGAGGUAAUGAUAUUCCUAAAUCUCCCUCCUGAGGUAAUGAUAUUCCUAAAUCUCCCUCCUGAGGUAAUGAUAUUCCUAAAUCUCCCUCCUGAGGUAAUGAUAUUCCUAAACCUCCCUCCUGAGGUAAUGAUAUUCCUAAACCUCCCUCCUGAGGUAAUGAUAUUCCUAAACCUCCCUCCUGAGGUAAUGAUAUUCCUAAAUCUCCCUCCUGAGGUAAUGAUUUUCCUAAAUCUCCCUCCUGAGGUAAUGAUUUUCCUAAAUCUCCCUCCUGAGGUAAUGAUAUUCCUAAAUCUCCCUCCUGAGGUAAUGUCUGUGAUUUGAAACAGGACAUUCUAGAAUAGAUCAUCUUCCUACAGAGAUGACAGGCCUCACUCUUCUUAUGGGCUACUUCUAAGAUGGAGCACCUUCAUUAUGUACACUCCAAGAGUACCUAUUUGUUGUCAGGAUUGAUCUGGGGGGAAAAUUGUCGUGUACAUUUUCUGCAGAAGCCAGCCACGUGUGGUGCUGAUUGCUUCUUUAUUUAGUCAAUGUCUGUGCAGCUUCUCCAAAGAACCUGCUUGGAGCAGCUUACAGAGUAAAGCAAGGUACUAUAAUAAAACAGCAUACAUGUAAUUAAAAUUUUCAGCCCACUAAAACUCAGCCCAAAAAAUUAAAAAGCAGCACAAAACAUUGAUCAGCCUAAGAUAAGCCUUCUAAGCAGUCCUCAGACUACAAGCAGAGUCUAAAAGAACAACUUUAAAAUGUUAUAACCUUUCAGUUAAAGGUGUACAAAGAAAUGUUUUGACCUGUCGUCUGAAAGAGAAGGGGGUAGGCUCCCGAUAAGCCUCAAGGGGAAGAGUGUUCCAAAGAAGGGAAGCCCCGCCCCCCAAAAGACCCCUGUCUCUGUUUGCCACUGACUUCACCUCUGCAGGUGAUGGUGGGGGGCAUAGAGAUCAGGGCUUGCGAGAGUGACCAUAAGCGGCUGAUCAGACCGUGUGGGAGGAUUGGCUGCUCUUCUGGGAUGAUGUAAUCGCAUAGCCUCUUCCAUUACGAGCAGAGCAGUUUUGCACCCGAGCAGAUUUCUUUUAAAAGUACUCUGCACAAAUUGCUGAAUGAACCAGGAAAUGCUGCACUUUCAUAAAUCAUUAUAGAAGGGAAGGGGUGGAUAAGUCCUCCUGAAUCACGGACAUUCGGUUUGUCAGAAUCAUCCGUCACUUCUUUUGUGAAGCUUGCCCCAUGGCCGUGGGUGGGGUGGGGGAUGUGCUGUGUCUGUGAUGUCUGUUUUCACAGCCAUCCCUCCUCUGAACAUUUGUUGGCAGUUCAGUAAAAACCAAGGCAGAAACAAGCAGAGCAGGUCAAGCUCUGUAAGUUCCCCAUUGAUCAGGCAGAAGAGCAGAGUUGUCCAAAGCUUUGUUCAUUCCUGGUGUUUGUCACGUGUUCGUCAGUGUAGACCUAGUUCUCUGCUCUGCUAAUCUUUUCACAAAAGAAACUGACUCAGUUGUGUGUCGUGGGGUCCGAGAAGCCAUAAGAACACAAGCAGAGCUCAGCUAGAUCAGAUCAGAGGGCCGUCAGGGCCAGCAUCCUAUUUCACACGGCAGCCAAUGCUCUGUUACUCGGAAUCCAUUAUGUGCUACAUGCACUUUUGGUCUUUGGCAUUCAUCUGUUCAGUUUGCAUGUUUUGGAUUUUUUGAGACCAUUGGGAUAAUAAAAGGGGCAUUGUGGUAGGUGAACACGAGACUGUCUUGUCGAAGGCUUUCAUGGCCGGAAUCAACUGGCACUUAUGGAUUUUUCUGGGCUGUGUGCUCAAAAGUGCCACAGAGAGAAACACCUCUUACUGUUGACAUGCCUCUGAAGGCGCCAGCCGUAGAUCCAGGUGAAAUGUUGGGAGCAGAAACAAUCACACCACGGCCACACAGCCACAACAGCCAGACUAGGAGAUUAUUGUCAUGGUGGAGUGAACAGACAAGAGACUAGUCGUGAGCUGCUCUCUGUACAAGUGACUCACCUUUCUGGUCCGUUAGAGAAAAUGCCAACACAAUGGUUCCAUGCUAACAGGAGGUCAUUUCAAGAAUGUGGAAGCUUUUGAGUUCAUCAGGACUCAUUGUCAAGAUGGGUGUUACAAAGAGAGGGAGGGAGAUAAACAAAGCCCAGCGUUUGUGCGGUUAAAGAUGGGACAUGGAAAGUGUUAACUGUGAUUUAGGUUAAGCUGUGCUUGGUGCCAAAGGAGCAUAGUUGACCUAAUUAAAAUCUCAGUGUCACCCUUCUUUCAUGCCACCUUGUCUAAUAAUAAAGUCGGUGGCUCUGUGCAGAACUGCACAAUGGGGCCAGCAGCAAAGAGAGGCAGUUCUGCAUACCUGAAGGGAUCGCUCCAACAGAGAGAGAGAGAGAGAGAGAGAGAGAGAGAGAGAGAGGACAGAAUGGGAUGUCCUGGAACCCUUGGCUGCAGCUGGCAGAGCAAACGAACAAGGCCUGUGACUUGCUGGAUGGACGUGUGUGGUUUCUUCUGGCUUCCAUCCAGCCUACAGGGCCAUGGAGGAAGGCAGGAAAAAUGCCUUUUUCUGACUCUUCAACCUUAGCAAUAUAUGGCAGUUUUUCUAGAGGGCUGGAUUUCUCAGCACAGGAUGUUCGGAAUCAGCAGCCUGGCUCUUAAAAGCAUGCAGAACUCAGCCCUCGAGGGAAGAGAAACUACCCUUUUAGGGAGGUGGUUAAGCAAUGGUUUGGAGAAUACUCCAUGUGACCCUUUGGAUUCAAACCCCCCCCCCCCCCCAGAUUUAAUCUAUUACACCCUGUAUGAUUCUCUGUCAUUCACCAAAGUAUUGGUUUACUCCUUUCUCUUUCCCCUUUUGCUUUUGCCUAACAUCCAGCCAGGUGAAGAAUCGUCGUGCACUCAAAAACCUGCCCAUUUUUCGUGUCUUGGUCCCCUGAUAAACUUUGUUAGUUGUGAAUUUGGGUCUACUGCCCCCGCCCCCCAUCCCCCAUAAAAGGGAGGAGUGAUGAACGCUCAUACCGUGGGGCUGUUACGAGGAUUAUAAUUAGAUAAGGAAGUAUCAUUCCGUCCUGUUUGCUCCAUGCUAGCACAGCCCCCACAGGCUCCCCAGGGCCCUUGUGUGCCAUGUUGCUGACUCAUGACUGCUCUAUAGAAAGGGUGAGAGGCGGCAUUAACAUACUCGCUGCUUGAGCAGAAAAAAAAGCUUUUCUAUCCUGAUUAAUUGGUGGGGUUCUGGGGAGGGUAAGUGGUUGAUGAGGCGCUCAGACAUGGAAGGAGCAGAAGUUUGUGAACCAUUUGACAGCACGCAUGACGAUGCAUUAACACUGUCAGGCCGAUUGUCUGUCAAGGUCAAUAUUGCCUGCUGCGGCUGGCUGCUCCCCACGACUUCUGACAGAGGUCUUUCACAGUCACCAGGACUUCACCUUUAUUUCAAGGGGAGGGGAUGGGAAUUGAACUCAAAACCUUUUAUGAGCAAGGCAGAUUCUGCCCCAUUGAGCUAAGGCCCCACUUUCCCCCAAAAAAACUGAAGCUGUCUUCUACAGAAUCAGGCCUCUGGUCUAUCGCUCAAGGUCUGUAUUGUCUGCUAUCACCAGCAGCAGCUCCCAAGAGUCCCAGGUAGAAAUCUUUGACAUGAUGCACUGGCUGUUUGAACUGGGGGGAUUGAAUCCGGAACCUUCUGCGGGCAAUUACGUGCUCUGCCACUGAACCGCAGCCCUUCCCGAUUGGUGGGUCGGACAGCAGGAAGCGGCCCGUUGCAGACAAGAGGGGUGGUAGGUUUCUGGGGCCGUUCUGUUAUGUCUAGCUGCUCACUGGGUCUCCCUCCUC